GAUGAACGCUGGCGGCGUGCCUAAUACAUGCAAGUCGAGCGAACGGACGAGAAGCUUGCUUUUCUGAUAUUAGCGGCGGAAGGGUGAGUAAAACGUGGAUAACCUCCCUAUAAGACUGGGAUAACUUCGGGAAACCGGAGCUAAUACCGGAUAAUAUUUUGAACCGCAUGGUUCAAAAGUGAAAGACGGUCUUGCUGUCACUUAAAGAUGGAUCCGCGCUGCAUUAGCUAGUUGGUAAGGUAACGGCUUACAAAGGCAACGAUGCAUAGCCGACCUGGGAGGGUGAUCGGCCACACGGGAACGGGAACACGGUCCGGACUCCUACGGGAGGCAGCAGUAGGGAAUCUUCCGCAAGGGGCGAAGUCCUAACGGGGCAACGCCGCGGGAGGGAUGAAGGUCUUCGGAUCGUAAAACUCUGUUAUUAGGGAAGAACAUAUGUGUAAGUAACUGGGCACAUCUUGACGGUACCGAAUCAGAAAGCCACGGCUAACUACGUG
Molecule: ribosomal RNA, 497 nt
Filed under: uncultured bacterium
Lineage: Bacteria
Description: partial 16S ribosomal RNA
Rfam family: Bacterial small subunit ribosomal RNA
Source: RNAcentral